UACGUAGGGUGCAAGCGUUAUCCGGAAUCAUUGGGCGUAAAGAGUUCGUAGGCGGUUUGGUAAGUUUGUAGUUAAAUCUGGUCGCUCAACGAUCAACUCGCUACAAAAACUCCCAAGCUAGAGAUUGGCAGAGGCAACUGGAAUUCCACAUGUAGGGGUAAAAUCCGUUGAUAUGUGGAGGAACACCAAAAGCGAAGGCAGGUUGCUGGGCCAUUUCUGACGCUGAGGAACGAAAGCGUGGGGAGCAAACAGG
RNAcentral lists this ribosomal RNA (253 nucleotides) under uncultured bacterium. Its description in RNAcentral is "partial 16S ribosomal RNA". It matches the Rfam family "Bacterial small subunit ribosomal RNA", at positions 524 to 776 of the family's 1533-position model. The record is from RNAcentral.